Cyclopterus lumpus (lumpfish) is the source of this 1521-nucleotide long non-coding RNA. RefSeq lists it as uncharacterized. The record is from RefSeq and is a predicted model, not a curated record. The transcript is spliced from 3 exons. Lineage: Eukaryota; Metazoa; Chordata; Actinopteri; Perciformes; Cyclopteridae.
GUCGUCGGGCGGAGAGCUCCAGAAGAAGAAGCCGCGCAGUGAGAUCUGAGAGCAGAGAACAGGAAGUCCGGGGCGCUCGGUCCGCGUUGGUUUGCUCCUCUUCUUUUUGAGCUGGAGUAGACCUUGAAGCCGGUCAUCUUCUUGGACAGGAUGGACUUGGGCAGGUUGAGCAGCGCCGGGUUGAAGACGGAGAAGUCGCUGUAAUAUCGGUCCAGCACCCAGACGGCCGCCCGCUGGACGCUGAAAACACGAUCAAACUUGCUGGCUCCGUCGGUGCUCCGGACCACCUUGAGGCAGAAGGCCGGCUGCAGGUGCCGCACCUCCAGCAGCACCAGGGCCAGGUACUGAAUGAAGAGGAGCGCGUCCACCAGCGAGGCGGCGUACUCCACGAUGCCCCUGUAGUCCCGCUCCCGGGGCUCCAGCACCCGCACGCCGUAGAACAACCAGUACGACGCGAUGAAGAGGAACACCAGCACCAUCAGCAGGCAGCGGAAGACGAAGAAGCGCGGGAGGGUGGCGCGGGGAGGCCGGAGGAACAGCGCCCAGGAGGAGAUGAGCAGGACCAGGAGCUUGAAGGCCAGGGAGACGUAGAGGCCCUCGCAAGGCGUGCCGCAGGGCUCCAGGGCGUCGCGCCACAGGACCUGCGGCAGGAUGAGGAAGGCCAGAGGCGUGACCAGGGCGAAGAAGCUCAGGCAGCCUCCCAGCGCCGGGCCCACGAAGCGCUUGCACUGCAGCGGGGUGGACUCCUCCAGAUCUUUGGUGACGCGGGUCAGGUCCUCGUUGGAGACGCUGUGUUCCGAGGUGCCGGUGACCACCGUGGUGGUCUCGCCCCAGUUGUCAUCCUGUGAGACGGAGGUACAGAUAAUCGAGGGUCACGAGAAAAACAAGCUUUUCUGCAGUAAAUCUGACUUUUAUUUGACUAGAUAACUGAAUAAAAAGAAGAAGCAGAUCUGGUGAAGCGCUUUUAGAUUAAUCGAAUAACUUGUGAGAAUCUGUUCUGCAUCAAGGAAGAAACUCAAGAUGUUUAUAUGACAUUUGUGUUUAGGAUGCAAAGAGUCUGAGCGAAUAUAGAAGCUUAGAGUCUAAAAGAAAACCAUUAAAAAUAAAGAAAAAGUCAAAAUGUUGUUAUAUAAGAACUCAAGAGACAAAAAACUAAACCAUAUUUAAAUGAAAGCAUUGCAACAACCAUUUGAAUAAAAAAAUAAAUGUUAUGGGGUAAAAAGCGGCGCGAGCGACUGACCCGCUCGUCCCCCCGUGUCGACUCGGCAUCGAGCAGCGGCUCCCCGGGAGUCUGGAUGGUGACGGAUUUGUCUCCGCGGCUGCUGCCGUCUCGGCUCUUGGAGCGGUGCCGGUCCCUCCGGUCCCUGGAGGACCAAAACCACGUCAGACGGGGGUCACUGGACUAAUGUUCUCUGGCUAUAAUUAACCCGAUUUAUCGUAAUCAGAAUCGAGUUAUUCUGAUUUGUUGAACUGCUCUUGGUUCCUGCUAAUAAAGUCAAAAAGUUUGUGAAAGCAGUUAAA